UACGUAGGGGGCAAGCGUUGUCCGGAUUUAUUGGGCGUAAAGAGCGUGUAGGCGGCUAGACAGGUCCGUUGUGAAAACUCGAGGCUCAACCUCGAGAUGUCGAUGGAAACCGUCUGGCUAGAGUCCGGAAGAGGAGUGUGGAAUUCCUGGUGUAGCGGUGAAAUGCGCAGAUAUCAGGAAGAACACCUAUGGCGAAGGCAGCACUCUGGGACGGUACUGACGCUGAGACGCGAAAGCGUGGGGAGCGAACAGG
RNAcentral lists this ribosomal RNA (253 nucleotides) under uncultured bacterium. Its description in RNAcentral is "partial 16S ribosomal RNA". It matches the Rfam family "Bacterial small subunit ribosomal RNA", at positions 524 to 776 of the family's 1533-position model. The record is from RNAcentral.